RNAcentral lists this ribosomal RNA (380 nucleotides) under Desmospora profundinema. Its description in RNAcentral is "partial 23S ribosomal RNA". It matches the Rfam family "Bacterial large subunit ribosomal RNA", at positions 1 to 373 of the family's 2925-position model. Lineage: Bacteria; Bacillati; Bacillota; Bacilli; Caryophanales; Thermoactinomycetaceae. The record is from RNAcentral.
GGAGAAGUUAGGAAGGGCACACGGUGGAUGCCUUGGCGCCAGGAGCCGAUGAAGGACGGGGCGAACUCCGAUAUGCCCCGGGGAGCCGUAAGCAGGCGUUGAUCCGGGGAUUUCCGAAUGGGGCAACCCGCCAGCGUAAACCGCUGGCACUCCCACCUGAACACAUAGGGUGGGCAGAGGCAGACCGGGGGAACUGAAACAUCUUAGUACCCCGAGGAGAAGAAAGCAAACGCGAUUCCCCGAGUAGCGGCGAGCGAAACGGGAUUAGCCCAAACCGCAAGGGUCUCCCUUGCGGGGUUGUGGGGCGUCCUAUAUGGAGUUACAAAAGUGGAAGGUAGGCGAAGUGGCCUGGAACGGCCCGCCGCAGAGGGUAACAGCCC